Rhinolophus ferrumequinum (greater horseshoe bat) is the source of this 2356-nucleotide long non-coding RNA. RefSeq lists it as uncharacterized. The record is from RefSeq and is a predicted model, not a curated record. Lineage: Eukaryota; Metazoa; Chordata; Mammalia; Chiroptera; Rhinolophidae. The transcript has 3 exons.
AAGAGAAUAUGGGAAUGUGGAUUCUGAACUUUAUAAUGUGCACAGGGUCCUGCAGAUUGUACUGUGCUGACUUUACAACUUCUCUGUGAGGUAGGACCAAAGUCUUUAAUCCCCACUUUAGGAGUGUAGACUCUGAGUUAAAGAAUUGCACAAGGUUACAAAGCAAAGUAGAAGAGCUGGGAUUCAAAUUAAUAUCCUCCAGCGUUUUUUUUUUCCUUUUUGUGGGGGCUCUGUCAAUCACUAAACAAACAGAAGAGAAGGAAGAAUUUAAGAGACUGGCUAGAAAGCAUUGCUUUAGCAAGCAAAAAUACCUGGCGCAAGCAUGGACACUCUUUUCUGUUUUCACGCCUAAGUAAGCAAUCGUCUGUCUGUGUUCUUUACAGGCUGAGAGUGGCCAUUAAGAAAUGAAAGCGAGUUUAGAUUUCACCAGCAUGUUUGGAUUUGACGACAUUUUGCAUUUCAAGAAACCAAGGUCAGCUCAACCCUUUUAGCACUGGGACCCAGGUACCACCAUGAUUUAAGCAAACAACUACCCUGGUGAAUUGAAAGAAGUUGUGCAAGGAGUAUCAAUUGCUUGUGACAACUAUCUGUGAAGAACAUUGUUGUCAGAAAUUCCGAAUUUCCCCAGAGCUGUGGCAAGGAAGUCCAGAGAUUAUUAUUGGACACCAUUUCAGCAGCUGGUCUCUUAACCCUGGUCCAAGGAAAAAGCUGCCAGAGAACCUCAGCCACAGGGUCGAACAAGCUCACAGUCCAGUAGAAAUUGUCACAUCAGGACUCCUGUAGAGAACCCCUACAGCUAUGCAACUUUGGUUAAAACCCAGAAGGUAUUUCCUAAAAGACUUUGAGUCAUGAACACCAGCAGGACAAUGACACCUCAUCUUCUACCUAAAAUUUGAUUGAAGGACCUUCCCUACGCUUCCAGAGCAAAUUGCAUACAUGAAAAUAGCCUGAUGAUAUCUCCAUCUUUGAAACAACUCUCCUUGCAACUCAGAAUCGACCGCCAAAGCGUCUCACAUCCAGAUCUGAGAGCGUUUAUCAUCACACACUGAAUCUGUAGAAGUGAAUCGGAUAGCCAGCAUGACUCCCUCCUCUUCUCCAGCAUUUCAGAAUCAUGCGGUAGAGAUGACCCCCACCUGUAGGUCUGAUUACAAUUCUGGAUCUGAGCAAGGAAUUUUAAGUGUCCUAAGCUGGUAGUUAGCAGGGCCUGAUUUGCAGUGACUUUUCAUUGUUUUUAGGAGCUGAGUGCUAGCCUUACCCACAAGAACGGAGCGCCGUGCCUCAGAGCAAAUAACUAGAUCCCUGUUUGUGUAAUUGUCCACCACCCAAGUCCUUCCCGGACUGAGGCCUGCCUUAUCCUGCCUUUCCCUAUGCAAACAUUGCAUGGGCACUACUUGAUUGAUGCCAGGCCCUAUGCCGGGCACGGAGGAGAAGAAUGAGAAUAAAUAGGGCACUAUGCCUACUCUCCACGAACUCAUAGUAGAGAGAAGGUCAGAGACGUAUUUCAAGUACACUACAAAAUGACGAGUUCUAAUAGAGGCAGAAACAAAUUGGUAGGGAGAACAAAAGUGGGGAUUGCUAACUAUGCUGGGGUAGAACCAAGAAAAUUUCACAAAAGAGGUGACAUCUGAGGUAGCACUUAAAGGUAUUCAUGGGGUAGAAAAGGCAGAGGGACAGAAAGUUAGCAAUGCAAGGAGGGCACUCUAAGAAGGGAGUAAAGCAUGUACAAAGAUGACCAGUGGUCCUCAAACUUGCAUGUUCAGACAAAUAAAUCACUUUGGGGUGCUUCUUAAAAUGCAGAUUGCUGGGCCUCACUCUCAGAUUCUGGUUCUGUUGGUCUAACAUAGGGAUCUAGAGUUUGCAUCUUCAACAAGUAGGUAGAUCUCAGGUCACAAUUUGAGAAACAGCUGACUAGGUUCAUAAAAGUACAUGGUAUUUGAGGGAAGAGAAGGAAUUCAGUAUGAACAGAGCAUAAAUUUGUGGGUGUAAUGUGGAUAAAUAAAGCUGGUCAACCAGAUCUAAGAGAGAUUGUCAAGUCUUCCAGGCACCUGCAAAGCCUGAAAAAUGAGAUUCUGGGAAGCUCCAAGUACCAAGAGCCACCCUCAGAGCUGCACAACGGCCAGGUCCAGUCUCUACAGCUGACCUGUUGGAUGUCCAGAGCACAGUAGCAGGGAGAGAAGAAGAAGAUUGGCUUUAGCUCAGAGAGUCCAAUGAUCCAGUCACAGUUCUGCCACUUACUAUGUCCUCUUCGCAAGUUAUUUUACCACCUUGGGCCUCUGUUUUUCCUCUGCAAAAUGGGAAUAAUAACACCAAUGUGUCCAAGUCAUUCAAAAGAUUAAAUAGUAUGAUAUACAUACGU